This 305-nucleotide ribosomal RNA is filed under the name uncultured bacterium. Its description in RNAcentral is "bacterial SSU rRNA". It matches the Rfam family "Bacterial small subunit ribosomal RNA", at positions 338 to 660 of the family's 1533-position model. The record is from RNAcentral.
CCUACGGGGCGCAGCAGUGGGGAAUAUUGCACAAUGGGGGAAACCCUGAUGCAGCGACGCCGCGUGAAGGAAGAAGUAUUUCGGUAUGUAAACUUCUAUCAGCAGGGAAGAAAAUGACGGUACCUGACUAAGAAGCCCCGGCUAACUACGUGCCAGCAGCCGCGGUAAUACGUAGGGGGCAAGCGUUAUCCGGAUUUACUGGGUGUAAAGGGAGCGUAGGCGGUGCAGCAAGUCAGAAGUGAAAGUCCGGGGCUCAACCCCGGGACUGCUUUUGAAACUGUGGGUCUUGAGUGAUGGAGAGGCAG